UACGUAGGGGGCGAGCGUUGUCCGGAUUUAUUGGGCGUAAAGAGCUCGUAGGCGGUUCGAUAAGUCAGGUGUAAAAACUCCAGGCUCAACUUGGAGAGGCCACCUGAUACUGUCGUGACUAGAGUCCGGUAGAGGAGCACGGAACUCCUGGUGUAGCGGUGAAAUGCGCAGAUAUCAGGAGGAACACCAGCGGCGAAGGCGGUGCUCUGGGCCGGAACUGACGCUGAGGAGCGAAAGCGUGGGGAGCGAACAGG
This 254-nucleotide ribosomal RNA is filed under the name uncultured bacterium. RNAcentral describes it as "partial 16S ribosomal RNA". It matches the Rfam family "Bacterial small subunit ribosomal RNA", at positions 524 to 776 of the family's 1533-position model. The record is from RNAcentral.